Molecule: ribosomal RNA, 253 nt
Filed under: uncultured bacterium
Lineage: Bacteria
Description: partial 16S ribosomal RNA
Rfam family: Bacterial small subunit ribosomal RNA
Source: RNAcentral
UACAGAGGGUGCGAGCGUUAAUCGGAAUUACUGGGCGUAAAGCGCGCGUAGGCGGCUUUGCAAGUCGGGUGUGAAAUCCCCAGGCUUAACCUGGGAACUGCAUUCGAGACUGCAUUGCUAGAGUAUGGGAGAGGGAAGUGGAAUUUCCGGUGUAGCGGUGAAAUGCGUAGAUAUCGGGAGGAACAUCAGUGGCGAAGGCGACUUCCUGGACCAAUACUGACGCUCAUGUGCGAAAGCGUGGGGAGCAAACAGG